Molecule: non-coding RNA, 1079 nt
Organism: Salmo salar (Atlantic salmon)
Lineage: Eukaryota; Metazoa; Chordata; Actinopteri; Salmoniformes; Salmonidae
Source: RefSeq, a predicted model, not a curated record
CUGUAGUUGCUCAGUACUCACGUGUGAUUGUACGGAGGUAGAACAAAGCCAGUGCUAUGUCUUCGGUACCAGUGUGUGUUAUCGUCUGCUGGUCCUAUCCUCAAUCGCUGGCACACUUACAAAUAUGGAACGGGGCCUCAUUAAAUGGGCUCUAUGCGACACUCUUAAACGAUUCCUGUAUUUAAGGAAACAUUUAUUCCUUAAAGGGACAUUUUUAAAAUAAAGUCUAUAUAUUAAUCUCCAGCACCACAUCAACAUGUAAGAAUGGCGUGUUUCUUGUAACAGAGGAAGAUGUGUUUGUAGGCAAUGCCUACUCACUAUUGGUCAAUCACUCCAAUGCACACUGAUGUCAUUGGAAACACUAACAUUUUUACUACACAACAUCAACAUGCACCAUUUUCACGUUAGUACCUUUAAGGUGGUAAACCCUUAGAAUGUUUUAUUCUGCUAGGGCAUCAUGUUUAAGUGGUUUUACCAACUAGACUGCAAACGCUGAUGUUUGUUACUGUCUUCUCUGUAGAUGAAGAAUCCGAGGAGGCACCACCCCAAAAAAGGCUGCCGCUAGGCCCUCAGUGAAGGUCACUGCAGCCAAGGAGGAGUCUGACGAUGAUGAUGAGGCCCCAGCGACUCCUGCAAAGAGGAAGGCUGACAACAAAAGGAGACCCCGCCUGCCAAGAAGGCCAAGUCCGAAAGCGAUGAAACAUUCUGUCUAUUUAUUGGCAACCUGAACUCAAACAAGGACUUUGAUGAAAUCAAAGAAGCCUUGGCAGCUUUCUUCUCAAAGAAGAACCUUGACGUUCAGGAUGUCAGACUUGGUGCAUCAAAGAAGUUUGGCUACGUAGAAUUUGGCUCCGCGGAGGACAUGCAGACGGCCUUGGAGCUGAACGGCAAGAAGUGCAUGGGACAGGAGUUGAAGAUGGACAAGGCCCGCAGCAAAGGGAACUCCCAGGAGGACAAGGAAGGUACCUUUAUAUUACUUCUGCUAUUUGUAGUGCAUUGACUAAAUCUUGCUGUUUGUAAAUGUAAUGUUUUCACAAAUGUGAUAAUUGAAUAAACUGAAGUGAUUUUAAAGUCUUAAA